This 300-nucleotide ribosomal RNA is filed under the name uncultured Desulfurococcus sp. RNAcentral describes it as "bacterial SSU rRNA". The stretch from base 52 to 300 matches the Rfam family "Bacterial small subunit ribosomal RNA", at positions 547 to 795 of the family's 1533-position model. Lineage: Archaea; Thermoproteati; Thermoproteota; Thermoprotei; Desulfurococcales; Desulfurococcaceae. The record is from RNAcentral.
GGAAGGGAGGGGCGAGAGGGGGGGGGAGGAGGUAGGGGCCGAGCGUGGGCCGGAGUUACGGGGCGGAAAGGGCGCGGAGGCGGCUUCGUGCGUCACCCGGGAAAGCCCCCGGCUCAACCGGGGAGGGUCGGGUGAAACGGCGGAGCUGGAGGCAGCGAGAGGCUGGUGGAAUUCCCGGAGUAGUGGUGAAAUGCGUAGAGAUCGGGAGGAACACCGGUGGCGAAGGCGGCCAGCUGGCGCUGACCUGACGCUGAGGCGCGAAGGCGUGGGGAGCGAACGGGAUUAGAUACCCCUGUAGUC